GAUGAACGCUGGCGGCGUGCCUAAUACAUGCAAGUCGAGCGAACAGACGAGGAGCUUGCUCCUCUGACGUUAGCGGCGGACGGGUGAGUAACACGUGGAUAACCUACCUAUAAGACUGGGAUAACUUCGGGAAACCGGAGCUAAUACCGGAUAAUAUAUUGAACCGCAUGGUUCAAUAGUGAAAGACGGUUUUGCUGUCACUUAUAGAUGGAUCCGCGCCGCAUUAGCUAGUUGGUAAGGUAACGGCUUACCAAGGCAACGAUGCGUAGCCGACCUGAGGGGGUGAUCGACCACACUGGAACUGAGACACGGUCCAGACUCCUACGGGAGGCAGCAGUAGGGAAUCUUCCGCAAUGGGCGAAGGCAUGACGGAGCAACGCCGCGUGAGUGAUGAAGGUCUUCGGAUCGUAAAACUCUGUUAUUAGGGAAGAACAAAUGUGUAAGUAACUAUGCACGUCUUGACGGUACCUAAUCAGAAAGCCACGGCUAACUACGUG
Molecule: ribosomal RNA, 497 nt
Filed under: uncultured bacterium
Lineage: Bacteria
Description: partial 16S ribosomal RNA
Rfam family: Bacterial small subunit ribosomal RNA
Source: RNAcentral